Molecule: small RNA, 873 nt
Filed under: Arabidopsis thaliana (thale cress)
Lineage: Eukaryota; Viridiplantae; Streptophyta; Magnoliopsida; Brassicales; Brassicaceae
Description: ATSL178320
Source: RNAcentral
AAUGUUAUUUCUACAACCUUUAAAGUUAGGAAUAAUUUAAUUGUUAUUACUAUAUAGUAGAAGUAUAUUUCCAAAAUUCCAAAGACUGUAUAGAAUCGAUCAAAUUAAUCUCAGAUACCAAGCCAGAUAGAUUAACAAAUUACUUACCAGAAUAUAUAACAAGGAGGGAAAGAAAAGUGAAUAUGUUCAAAAAAACUAUUCAUUUUCACGGAGACCUUUUGUUCUACCUACGGAUAUAUAUUGGCUAACUUUUUUUUGGUAAAAAGUUAAAUUUUAUACCAAUUUUCUAAUUUUUUCUCUACAAUGCUGAAACAGCUUAUUUAAAAAAGCAACAAUUAGAAAGGGAAGGAGAUACAACCAAAGUAGAAACUAAGAAGAGAAAUAGAAGAAGAAGGAGGACCAGGGAAGGAUAGAAGGCGGUCUCUAACGGUGCGGUCCACGGCAGCCUUAGUCACAGAAGCCGAAGUGGAGAUGUUGGUGAAGAUCCUUGCAUUUCGUUCGCGCCAAAUGAGAUAGCACGCAACCUGAGCGAUGAGCUUGAUGAUGACAGAAGAGAGAGUUUGAGGUUGGAGCUUGCGCUGUAAAAUCUAAGAUGAGACUGAGAGAAGAUCCAAGGGUGGCAAGCGCCAAACUUUAGAAGUUAAAGCUUCCCAAACAGAGGAAGAGAAGGGGCAUUCGAAGAAUAAGUAUCGAUGAGUCUCGAUGCCAGCAGAACAGAGAACACAAGCUGAGGUGACGUUAAUACCCCAGCCCCGCAACCUGUCCUUAGUAGGCAAUCUGCCCAGGAACGCAAGCCACAUAAUAAAUGAGUAGCGCGGAACUAACUUGAUUUUGGAGUCAAUAAUCCAUAGCUUGCUUUUCAAAUAUCUUUUU